UAAUGAUUUCAUGUUAUGGUUUCUCAUCGGCCAUUAUGAAAGAAAACCAUAAGACACAAAUCCUACCUUCACCACAAGUCAUGCCGAUCUCCUCUGGUUAUUCCAAUCACAGAUCUCCUCUGGUUAUGCCGAUCUUGAAAACACGCAGGGAUUUGCAGUUUGAAUUCGAUUUUACGGUUUUUUAAGAUGCACCUUGCCAGAACUAGGGUUACGAAUGUUUUUUUUCACCUCCUUUCUCUUUGCCUCAUACCAUCACAGGCGUGAAGGUGGUUGUUGCUACUGUUUCUGGCAAUUUGGUAGGGUCGGUUUUCCUCUUUACUAACUUGCACAGGGCUUCUCAUUUUUGUUUCCAUCAAUUCAUCUAUCUCUAACCGAAAACCCUAACAUCAUCCCUUCUAUGAAAUCACCGAUUGGUUCCAGAAAAAAACGCUUCAAUACAACACAGGUGAAAUACUUAAAAGGAACCAGAAAACCCCACCAGAUGUUAUUCCGGUCAGCGUAGAGUUAAGGUGGCUGAGAACAGUUUAUACAAUUAAUAUUGUGCAUGGGAACAUAUUUGUUCAGCUUUUAGCUUUAGUUGGAUUAGUUUUUUGGGUUUGUUUUAAAUGCCGGAAAUUUCAGAACCCUUUAGAAGAAGAAGCGCAACCUCUUCUGCCAUCGGUCCAACUCAGUGAGAUUUCGGAGGAGGUCUUGAAGGCUUAUGACGACAACUAUUCUCAAAAGCCUUCUCUUAUGGCCAUCGUAGGCCAGAUCUAUGAUGUCUCACAACGCUGGUUGAUUUCUUUAAGAUGAUACAGUUGUCAUUGGUAUAUCUGGUGAGCCCCCAAAUCCUUUUAAUCUCUAUUUUCAUAAAUUGGAAUUGGUAUAAUUCGCUUAGAAGACCGGAUUCUGUAUUAAUGAAUUUGGUGACAAAUCUUGCCAUGGCAUCUGUUUCUUGAUUGCAUAGGAAUGUUUUUGCUCAGAUAAAAAAUAUCGGUUGUGAAUUGGAUUGAAGGGCGUGUAAAGUCAGUUGUUUGUGAAUAAGUUAUUACUAAGGAGGUGGCGAGGAAGGUGCUAAAAACUACAGUGCCCACGCUUGUUAGCGAAAACCGUGCUCUUGAACAGACAACCUCAGCCUAGCCACGGUAAAGGAGUCACCAACCACUGCGAGAUAUAUGGUCAGAACCUUGUUGAUGCUUCUCGCUUUUGUUCAGUUGGUCGCAAGUUUGUACAACAUACAUCAUGUUUAAUGGAUCAGCUUGCCAAUCUAUAUCAAGAUUCCUCCAUGUUAACCUUCGAAGGUCAGAAGAUUCAAGGAUCUCAAUACAUUGUUUGUAAGUUGCAGAUGUGUUGGAUCCAAUUAUUGCUCUGGUGUUCUCAUGGCAAAAGAUGGAAUUGAAUUGUGGCCUACUUUACUUGAUGAAGUUCAACCACGAUUUGUCACUGAUGUUGGCCAGUUAUGGUUCCCGUUAUACUUGGUUCUUCGGCCAGGUUGUUAUGAAGAUACCAAUGGUUGUAGUGGCAGUACAAGAUUUCAUACGAGUGUGACACUCGCCUCCGGAACCUGAUUUCACUGACCUUCCACUCUUUCCCCAAACAAGGUUG
This is a long non-coding RNA of Helianthus annuus (common sunflower), 1584 nucleotides long. RefSeq lists it as uncharacterized. The transcript has 7 exons. Lineage: Eukaryota; Viridiplantae; Streptophyta; Magnoliopsida; Asterales; Asteraceae. The record is from RefSeq and is a predicted model, not a curated record.